CCUGAACUGACUGAUUCAAACAAAGCUCACUUGAACUUACUAGCAACAGAACAUGAAAGUAUGCGAUAAUUAUUUCAAAUUAGAGAUAAAAAUGUUACUACUUCAAUUAACAAUGUAGUAAUCAUGGAUCAUAUUAUGAUCUGAAAUAUGUCUGUCUUGUGACAACAUUUUCUUUGGAUAAUACAAAAAGGUAAUUCUCAAAAUAAGGAAAUUAGAAGUAAAAGAUAAAAUGCUACUAUAAGAGAAUCAUUCUUUAAUAACCAAUAAAAUCAACAAGCUAGUCAAAAUACUCCCAUUGUCAGACAUUCUUUUUCAAAUAUAACUUAUUACAUCUAAGGAUCUACAAAGGAUAUGCAUGUGGGAGGCCAACCUUCUUACGAGCCUCAAUACGCUUCAAUCUCUCCUUUUCUUUCAGUUGUCUUUGAGCUUCUUUUCUCCUUUUCUUCUUUCGCUUGUGGAAGCCAGUAACAAAGUGCCUUAGCUCCUUGUCGUCGAAACCGACGGUGACGCCUUUGUUCCUGAGAGACCU
This is a non-coding RNA of Elaeis guineensis (African oil palm), 529 nucleotides long. The record is from RefSeq and is a predicted model, not a curated record. NCBI's taxonomy places the organism in Eukaryota, Viridiplantae, Streptophyta, Magnoliopsida, Arecales, Arecaceae.